Molecule: non-coding RNA, 333 nt
Organism: Paramuricea clavata
Lineage: Eukaryota; Metazoa; Cnidaria; Anthozoa; Malacalcyonacea; Plexauridae
Source: the annotation of a GenBank genome assembly
CCCCUUCCCAUGGAAAUUCCUUGUAAAAAUUACCCUUCCCCAUGGAAUUUCCAUUCUAAAUUAGGCCUUCCCCAUGGAAUUUCCAUUUAAAAUUUGGCCCUGUCCAUGGAAUUUCCAUGUGUAAAUUACCCCUCCCUUUGGAAUUUCCAUCAUGGGACAUUUAUGCCCGGAAAUUUGCCUCUAACAUAUCCCAUCAAAUUUACCCCUCCCUUUGGAAAUUCCAUGUGAGAAUUACUCCUCCCCUUGGAAAUCCAGAGCCUGAAUGCCCCCUUCCCUGGAAAUUCCAGGGUUAAUGCAUUCCCUCCCCUGGAAAUUCCAGGGUUAAUGUAUUCC